UAACGCGUGGGAAUCUGCCCUGGAGUGGGGGAUAACCCGGCGAAAGCCGGGCUAAUACCCCAUACGCCCCGGAGCAAUCCGGGGGAAAGAUUUAUCGCUCCUGGAGGGGCCCGCGUCGGAUUAGGUAGUUGGUGGGGUAACGGCCUACCAAGCCUAUGAUCCGUAGCUGGUCUGAGAGGAUGAUCAGCCACACUGGGACUGAGACACGGCCCAGACUCCUACGGGAGGGAGCAGUGGGGAAUAUUGGACAAUGGGGGGAACCCUGAUCCAGCAAUGCCGCGUGAGUGAUGAAGGCCUUAGGGUUGU
RNAcentral lists this ribosomal RNA (306 nucleotides) under uncultured Sphingomonadaceae bacterium. RNAcentral describes it as "bacterial SSU rRNA". It matches the Rfam family "Bacterial small subunit ribosomal RNA", at positions 111 to 426 of the family's 1533-position model. The record is from RNAcentral. Lineage: Bacteria; Pseudomonadati; Pseudomonadota; Alphaproteobacteria; Sphingomonadales; Sphingomonadaceae.